GAUGAACGCUGGCGGCGUGCCUAAUACAUGCAAGUCGAGCGAACAGACGAGGAGCUUGCUCCUCUGACGUUAGCGGCUGACGGGUGAGUAACACGUGGAUCACCUACCUAUAUUACUUGGAUAACUUCGUGAAACCGGAUCUACUACCGGCUAAUAUAUUGAACCGCAUGGUUCAAUAGUUCAAGACGGUUUUGCUGUUACUUUUAGCUGGAUUCGCGCCGCAUUAGCUAGUUGGUAAGGUAACGGCUUACCAAGGCGACGAUGCGUAGCCGACCUGAGAGGGUGAUCGGCCACACUGGAACUGAGACACGGUCCAGACUCCUACGGGAGGCAGCAGUAGGGAAUAUUCCGCAAUGGGCGAAAGCCUGACGGAGCAACGCCGCGUGAGUGAUGAAGGUCUUCGGAUCGUAAAACUCUGUUAUUAGGGAAGAACAAAUGUGUAAGUAACUAUGCACGUCUUGACGGUACCUAAUCAGAAAGCAACGGCUAACUACGUG
This 497-nucleotide ribosomal RNA is filed under the name uncultured bacterium. RNAcentral describes it as "partial 16S ribosomal RNA". It matches the Rfam family "Bacterial small subunit ribosomal RNA", at positions 28 to 507 of the family's 1533-position model. The record is from RNAcentral.